CUUAAUUCUCCAGUCCCUCUUUAUAGGUUAGCUUUUAUUCUUGUCCUGCUUCCUCUGCCUCAUUCACAGUUUGUUCUUUCAGUAUUGGUUUUUAGUUUCUUUUAGGGUCAGCUCACCAUCUUGUCUUUAGUUCUAUUAGGUUCACCUGCUCCCUCUGCCUUCCUGCCUCCUUGUCUCACCUGUUCUUAGUUCCUUUGAUUACCUGCCUUUGUUCUCCCUCAGCAUAUUAGUUGUUUUUGUUUCUUUGUCCUUUGCUGGUUCCUCCGAUCACAUUACCUGAUUUGCUCAGUGUUUGCUACGUUCCUACAGUACAACGCAGAAGUUUCGAUUGUACUCAUGCCUUGCACCUGCGCCACAUCCAGGCCUGAUAACUGCAGCAGAAUGAAGAAAUCACGUGACUAGAUCCUGUCCGGCAGCAUGAAGUAGGAUAAAAGAUUUUAAAAAGCGAUCUAGAGUAAUUCAAGAACGAAUGAGAAACAAACUCGUUGACGUCUAUCGGUCUGGAAAGGGUUACAAAUCCAUUUUUUUUUAAAGAUUUGUUUUGCAGCACUAGUGGCCUUUGUCUUGUUUAUUUAAAAGUAGGCAGACAGGAAAUGGGGUGAAGAGAGGGGGGAGACAUGCAUCACAGGUCACCGUGGCUGGGACUCGAACCAGGCGACAGCUGCGUCGAGGGCCAAAGCCUCUCUAUACAUGGGCCGUGUCCUUCAAAGCCAUUUCUAAGGCUUUGAGACUAAAGGUGGGCACAGUAAGAAGCACGAUCGACAAAUGGCGAAAACAUGUGAAGAACUGUCCCAGGAGUGGCAAGACUGUCAAAAUACUCCCAGACUGCAUCCAUGACUCAUCCAGGUCACCAAGACCCACAUCAUCAUCUAAAGCGCUGCAAGCCUCACUUGCAUAAAAUCAAAGUUCAUGAUUCAACAAGAAAAGUAACUGCAUGCUCAUGAGAUUUUCAAGGCCAGAACGACUGCUGAGCAAAAGAACUCAAAGACCCGUCUCACAUGUCCCAAAAAGCAACUUAAUGUUCCCCCAAGACUUCUGGAAAAAUAUUCUGUGGACUGACGACACAAAAGUGGACCUUUUUGGAACCAUGACAGUAAAACAUGGCAGUGGUAGUGUGAUGCUCUGGGGAUGCUUCGCUGCUUCAGGACCUGGACGACUUGUAAAUAUUGGAACCAUAAUUUCUGCUCUCAGCAGGAUAACGAUCCUGUUGCAGAAGCAGCAAACAGAAGACUGUGAUGAAAUCAGAAGAAUAAAAAGAAACGUAUUUAAAGGUAAUUAAUGAACAAUCCUGUAAAUUUUCCUAAAUCAGAGACGAAAGCCUUUGGUGGUAAACAGCAAUUAUUUAUUGAACUGAAAUGAAAAUAAGUACCAGCUCUAUUGCAUUAUUGAACCAUGUUGCUCCUGUAACAGGGACGUGGGUGUUACUCUACUUUUUUUUUUUUAGUUUUCUCUCGUAGGAUGUAGUGAACACAAAGAUACAAGGAACAUUCAGCUAUCACAGAUUGCACACCAGAUACUGUAGUAACGCAGUCUAAUACCAGACCACCAAAAUAAUCCAGGAUUUUCCUCUUUUUUUUUCCUUCUUCGUUCCUUCAUUAGUUCAUAGUUUCUUUCCGUGAAGAGUACAAAAGUCCACCCGAAGCCGCGAACGGGGUCUGCGUCAGUCGGACGCUCAUCAGUCAACGCCUCGGAGAUAAAAACAAAAGCAUAAAUCCAGCAAAAAAAAAUCUAACAUGUACAAUACACUGACACAGAAAGUCAGCUGUGUUAAUAAAACAUGCAACAAGUAACAAAACUUGCUGAAAUCAUAAAAAAAAAAAAUCUAAAA
Girardinichthys multiradiatus is the source of this 1828-nucleotide long non-coding RNA. RefSeq lists it as uncharacterized. The transcript has 2 exons. The record is from RefSeq and is a predicted model, not a curated record. NCBI's taxonomy places the organism in Eukaryota, Metazoa, Chordata, Actinopteri, Cyprinodontiformes, Goodeidae.